RNAcentral lists this ribosomal RNA (219 nucleotides) under uncultured bacterium. RNAcentral's name for it is "partial 16S ribosomal RNA". It matches the Rfam family "Bacterial small subunit ribosomal RNA", at positions 15 to 217 of the family's 1533-position model. The record is from RNAcentral.
AAUCAUGGCUCAGGACGAACGCUGGCGGCGUGCUUAACACAUGCAAGUCGAACGAGAAUCUGUGGAUCGAGGAUUCGUCCAAGUGAAGCAGAGGACAGUGGCGGACGGGUGAGUAACGCGUGAGGAACCUGCCUUUCAGAGGGGGACAACAGUUGGAAACGACUGCUAAUACCGCAUGAUACAUUUGGGUGGCAUCACCUGAAUGUCAAAGAUUUAUCG